CCUGGCGACUAUCAAGAGCAGGAAGAAGGAUAGACCUUCUGAAGGUACGUCUGAUAUGCUUGUUAUUGAAACUAAUCUAACAAUUUCUUCUUCAUCUAAUUGGGUUCUAGAUUCUAGAUCAAGUGCUCAUUUAUGCACUUCUAUGCAGGGUCUUGAAGAAGUGAGAGGGCUGAGGGAAGGUGAGAUCACUCUCUAGGUCGGCAAUAGAGUAAGGAUCACUGUUGUGGCCGUCGGGACCUAUCCUUUGUGAUUAUUAUUAGGAGUUUGUUUACUUCUUAAAAACUAUUAUUAUAUACCUGUAGCUAGUAAAAAUUUGAUUUUCAUAUCUGUGCUG
This 334-nucleotide long non-coding RNA is filed under the name Elaeis guineensis (African oil palm). Its description in RNAcentral is "long non-coding RNA (EGUI_LNC064734)". The record is from RNAcentral. Lineage: Eukaryota; Viridiplantae; Streptophyta; Magnoliopsida; Arecales; Arecaceae.